RNAcentral lists this long non-coding RNA (215 nucleotides) under Mytilus galloprovincialis (Mediterranean mussel). The record is from RNAcentral. Lineage: Eukaryota; Metazoa; Mollusca; Bivalvia; Mytilida; Mytilidae.
GGUGUAUCGGAACGGAAACACCGGUCGUCAUCGGUGGAAUCGAAUUAGUAGUGGCUUACGAUAUAUAACAUUAGAAUCUGAUACUGCUUUUCCACGCGUUUGACAGCUUCAUCAGGCAACUUCGAGAUCAAAAGCUUUAUAUAAACGUUGAAUGUAAUUUUUCAGUUUAAAAGUAUAAGAAACAUUGAUAUAGUCAAACUUCGGAACAACCUGCA